UUUUCCCUGCUUUGCUCGUGAUGGUGGCAGGCUCGUUUGAGCCAAUGCAUCACCCAAGCGAGUCGCGAUGCUGCGUGGUGUGCAUGCCUCUGUUCGAGGAAGCCUGAAGCGCAGCUUAUAUCAGCGGCUCCACCUGCUACCGCAGGUUCAUCGACCUCCCCACACGGCAAAGCGGGGAAUUU
RNAcentral lists this non-coding RNA (182 nucleotides) under Acidobacteriota bacterium. Its description in RNAcentral is "Acidobacteria bacterium (activated sludge metagenome) 6S RNA". It matches the Rfam family "6S / SsrS RNA". Rfam says of the family: E. coli 6S RNA was the first non coding RNA to be sequenced, but its function was unknown until recently. The record is from RNAcentral. RNAcentral also lists the same sequence under 1 other name. Lineage: Bacteria; Pseudomonadati; Acidobacteriota.